Molecule: non-coding RNA, 251 nt
Organism: Erythranthe guttata (spotted monkey flower)
Lineage: Eukaryota; Viridiplantae; Streptophyta; Magnoliopsida; Lamiales; Phrymaceae
Source: RefSeq, a predicted model, not a curated record
UAUAUAUAUAUAUAUAUACCAUUUUCAUUUCAAGAAACCCUAAUCCACAAAUAUUUUAUCCCAAACAAGAUCCUAGAUUUUUGCUCAAGAACAAUGGCAUUUGGCAAUAACAGAAUCAGGUGAAAAUUCUCCAUCGUCCAAUUGAAUUUAAAUGAAGAAAAAAUUGCUGCAAUAGCUUCACAGUUGGUGACAUGUCUGAGUGUCUGGAAAAAUUAAAUCUUUACAAUAAAUGAAGCAGAUUUUUUUUUAUU